GGUUUUUUCGUCUGCCCUCCCCCUCGCACGCAAAAAAACGCACCCAGCACCGAAACAAAGAAAAACCUACGACUCCGCUCCUCUCGAUCCCCUCGAUCUUCCUGACGCAGCCGUGCCACUGCGAGAUUGCAAAUCAGUCUGGAGAGGACCUUGCGUGAGCUCGCUCCCAUGUCGCUCUCCUCCUAGGGCGACACCGGGGCGCCCCCCAACCCUAGCCGCCACAGACCCCCACCACAACCAAGCCGCCGUCGCCGGCAGCUGUCGCCGGCGGCGGCGAAGGCGGCUCCUCAAAGCAGGGACGCGUCUCCCGUCGAAAUCCAAGUCCAUUCGCGCGAGCUUCUCCGCCCCUCGAUCCAAUCUUCACCUUCGCUCAUGGUGGCCGUCAGCUGGCUUCCCACCGGCUGCCAGCUUGAUCUGCGCGGCACUCGGCUGCUCGCGUGGCCCACCUCCUCCCCAUCGUGGCACUCUGCGCGGCACUCGAUGGCCGCCGUUGGGCCUGCUUGCGGCGCACAGAUCAUAUCGCGUGCGAUGGCUACAUCAUCGCCGGACCUGUCCUUUCGUCCGACCGCGACCCAACCCCAGCGCCCUCCUCCACCGCCCGCUUCCCCCACUCCCGCUUGACUCCACGGGGGGCGCCGAUGGCGAUGCUCUGCCCGGAGUUCCGCGGAUCUGCGUAUGCCAGCCGCGUUUGGCCCUCCGUCCGCUGUGCUCUGCCGGCCCUGGCCCACGCCGUGGUUGCCCUUGGCUCGUCACCAGGCUCCUGUGUGGCUUGCUCUCGCACGUCCAGAUGCACCAUCGUCGGGUUCCCUGUUGCCCCUCAGAUAUGAUAAAUGCAUCCACCCAUCGCAUCCAUUGGCUUGGGUACCUGAUGGAUUUGGUGUGGUGUCUGACCUUCUGCUGCUCUGUCUCCGAGAGAGAUCCCUUCGCUAGCUCCUUGCUAGCGGCAGCAACGGCGACGCUUUUGGCGCCGCUUCCCUUCUUGGAGGCGCUGCUGUGGAGCCCCAGUGCAGCAGUGGAUUUGGCCGAAAGCCCUACGAUGAUGGCGCCCGUGGGUGUCAUUCAACCUUCCUGAAGGCGUCGCCGCCACCUGCGCUAAACCCCAGGGCAGGGCAGUUUCAACCCAAGGCAGGCUGCGACGAGCGGCGCAAGAAGACCAUGCCAGCGGUACACAGAGAUGUUGGUUCCGUUGUUUGCACAUGUAUCCUGAUGCCCGCUUUCUCGCCGUGGCUGUCAAGUACCACCUCGUGAAGGAGUGGAGAAGACAACGUCCUCUGGUCCUCCUCCAGGCCGGCCGACAACUUGUCAGUUUGUUGCUCUUCCCUUACAAGGUACGGCAUCCCCUUCCUGUGUGCUCAUGCAAACAUACAGUUCUUGAUGUGGUUGAUGAAAGUAGUCUAAGAUUUGGCUAUUUCUCUUUGAAAAUUGAUUAUAUUAGUUCAAUUACGUAAAUAUCUUCCUUGACAAGGUCAGAUUACUUUCCCCACUCUGUGAUUUGGAUUGAUUUCUUGAAUUUAUCCAAACACCUUUGCUUGUGCUCCUAAUUUCCCAUCACUCUUUUUGUCACGCCAUGGUCUAAACAAUGGUGCCUUCACCCUUGCUUGUGCCUCAACCCACAUGGUCAUCUUUGAGACGUGGUAUUCAGUCACAUGACAGAGUUCUCUUUCUUUGGACAAAAACAUUUAUGCUCAACACAGCUGGUUCCCCCAAGUUCAGCAGUGACCGUAUGAUACACAGUACGCAAAAGAUAUAUGGGAUAUCAUCCCCGUCAUCAUGCUCUGAAUAAUUUAACAGUUUACAGAAACCUUGAGUCUGUGAGGCGCAAUCGGUCACAGAUUUGCCUCUACUCUUCAUUGGGAAGGUGUUGCUGCCCCCAGCUUUGUAUAGGAACAUGCAAGUUCUGACAUGGACAUGAGAGCUGAGAGCAUGCAGGGUGAUACGUAUGAAGGAAAAGAGCCAGAGCAGCGCUUGGAUAAAAGUCAGUGUUGGAAUUUGUUUGGCAGAUGCGGAAAUCUUGGUAAAGGUAAGUUCAGUCUUUCACUCGCUCACCAUGUUUUUUUGGUCUGCAUUAUUUUUCUAAUCUACAUUUCAGGAGUGGCUAUAGUCAAUGCUUUCAUGUACAUGAUCGGUAUGAACUUCUCAUCAUAGCUUGGACAUAUCUCUUUUCACACGCGAUCUUAUUUACUUGAAAGAUAAGUUAUACACUCUGGGUAAUAAUUUGAUGAGUAGGCCAUUUCAAUAAUUCUAUUUGUUUCAGGCAUUGGUAGAUUGUGGUACAACUGAAGAGUUUCUUAUGCUAAUACUUGCAGAUCUCGACACACCCGGAACAAUGAGCACAUGUUACCAGCCACAUUCCACACAGGAUGUGUUCUUUUCAAAACAAAGAUACCCUGAUGCAUGACAAAGUUGUAGCGUUAAUCUCAAAAAAUUAUGCUUCUGUAGUAUGCAAUAUACACUAUAAACCUAAGAGUGGGUAGCUUCAGCUUGCUUCUGUAUUAUGCUUUCUCAUUGAUAACCUAGCCCAUGCUUGAUUAUAGUACACAUUAUUCCUGUUGAAAGCUACUCUCUCUGUCCCAAAAUUCUUGUCUUAGAUUUGUCUAAAUACGGAUGUAUCAAGUCACAUUUUAGGUUCAUCUGUAUCUAGAAAAAUCUAAGACAAGAAUUUUGGGACGGAGGGAGUAUAUUAAAUCCUAACUUUUGACUCUUCUGAUAAUGAAGUGAAGGUGCAGAACCGCAUCUUCCAUUGACUCAAAAAAUACAUUUAAAUAUUAUGAUUUUUAUAAUGUUCUGAAUGUAUUUUUCUCAGGAUAAGGACGCACACGGCGGCGAGGUUAGUAGGGGCGUAACAAACAAGAAGGGCGGGCGUGGCAAUGGCCAUUCAUGUGUCAGAUGAAAAUAGUACACCCACAUGUGUGUCUGGACUUGACAUAUGCAUCAGCGAGCAUGGUGAUGAGGUGAGAGUUGGAAGCGUGGAUGUACUUGACAAGGACCAAGUAGAUGCGAGCAAGCAUGGUGGGCAAUGUCGACGAUGGUCACGUCGAUGAGAAGACCGAAGAGGAAGGCUUAAAUGUAAUUAGCCAGUGUCUUUGGACAGGUUGUCGACAGAUAAAAGUUCUAUAGUUUGGCUUGAGGAGUAACAUAGACAGGCAUGCUGGUGCUAUAAGGCUAUAUCUCUCUUCGUGGACAAGAGCACACAAUGCUUCAAGUUUCAUGGAAGUUUUUUAAAUUCUAUUAUGAGGCUCAAUCUGAAAUAAAAUCGGGUCUUGCUUUACCCAA
Aegilops tauschii subsp. strangulata is the source of this 3273-nucleotide long non-coding RNA. RefSeq lists it as uncharacterized. The record is from RefSeq and is a predicted model, not a curated record. Lineage: Eukaryota; Viridiplantae; Streptophyta; Magnoliopsida; Poales; Poaceae.